Molecule: ribosomal RNA, 388 nt
Filed under: Pristimantis zeuctotylus (Sipaliwini robber frog)
Lineage: Eukaryota; Metazoa; Chordata; Amphibia; Anura; Strabomantidae
Description: partial 16S ribosomal RNA
Rfam family: Bacterial large subunit ribosomal RNA
Source: RNAcentral
CUUGAUAACAUAAGAGGUCCAGCCUGCCCAGUGACUCAAUUCAACGGCCGCGGUAUCCUAACCGUGCAAAGGUAGCGUAAUCACUUGUCUUCUAAAUAAAGACUAGUAUGAAAGGCACCACGAGAACUAAACUGUCUCCUUUUUCUAAUCAGUGAACCUAAUCUCCCUGUGAAAAAGCAGGGAUUUAAUAAUAAGACGAGAAGACCCUAUGGAGCUUUAAACACAUAACACUGCCCUUUUACACCACAAUGUUCCAUGCACAAUGAUUAAGAGUUUUUAGUUGGGGUGACUACGGAGUAAGCCCACCCUCCGCGAUGAAUCUUAAACAAGCGACAGCUUUAUACAUCAGCAAACUGAUACCAUUGACCCAAUUUAUUGAUCAACGAAC